RNAcentral lists this ribosomal RNA (441 nucleotides) under uncultured bacterium. Its description in RNAcentral is "partial 16S ribosomal RNA". It matches the Rfam family "Bacterial small subunit ribosomal RNA", at positions 338 to 795 of the family's 1533-position model. The record is from RNAcentral.
CCUACGGGUGACAGCAGUGGGGGAUAUUGCACAAUGGGGGGAACCCUGAUGCAGCGACGCCGCGUGGGUGAAGGAGUGCUUCGGCAUGUAAAGCUCUAUCGACAGGGAAGAGGCAAGACGGUACCUGACUAAGAAGCCCCCGCGAACUACGUGCCCGCCGCCGCGGGAAUACGUAGGGGGCGAGCGUUAUCCGGAUUCACUGGGUGUAAAGGGAGCGUAGACGGCAAUGCAAGCCAGGGGUGAAAGCCCGGGGCCCAACCCCGGGACCGCCCUUGGAACCGCUUGGCUGGAGUGCGGGAGGGGCAAGCGGAAUUCCUGGUGUAGCGGUGAAAUGCGUAGAUAUCAGGAGGAACACCAGCGGCGAAGGCGGACUGCUGGACGGCGACUGACGUUGAGGCUCGAAAGCGUGGGGAGCGAACAGGAUUAGAUACCCCUGUAGUC